Molecule: long non-coding RNA, 517 nt
Organism: Gasterosteus aculeatus aculeatus (three-spined stickleback)
Lineage: Eukaryota; Metazoa; Chordata; Actinopteri; Perciformes; Gasterosteidae
Source: Ensembl
CCCCACACGAGUGGAGGUUGUCAGAUGCAUCUGCUGUCCUGGUGUUUGAUUGCAAGUGAUUUUCCUAUCGGACCAAAGCACUCACGCAGCAGAGAAAGACAUGGAGAUCGACUGAGAGAUUCCUUUAAAACAAACAGGCUCACUAGGAGAGCGUCUUCAAAGACUUGGACUGUGUGUCACCAGUAUGAGGCUUGGCAACUGUCGAUAGGGCUGGUGAACAAAAUCAGACUUGCACUCAAGGACCAGUGCUGGAGCCAAAAUAAUGGAAAGGAAAAAUACAUUUGGGAGAUGAGAGGAUGCAGGUCCCGGUCCUCUCAUAAAUGGGGAGGCUGUGUUGCCUCCUGCACAGUCAACGGGGAGGACGCCGUCUUCAAGCGGAGAACCGGACUCGCCAUGAGGAGAGCGCGCGGAGCGUCCGGCCGGCCGGAGCCGCCGCGCAGGUAGCGAGGGCGCAGCCGGACGACGAGCGCGAUUCGCCGCCGAGCCCAAGGACGUACGAGGCGGCCAGACUCAGCCG